RNAcentral lists this long non-coding RNA (347 nucleotides) under Dromaius novaehollandiae (emu). Its description in RNAcentral is "lncRNA (ENSDNVG00000010746.1)". The record is from RNAcentral. Lineage: Eukaryota; Metazoa; Chordata; Aves; Casuariiformes; Dromaiidae.
CAGCCCUAAGCAAAAUAACUAUUGAUUAAUCUUUGUUUCCAUUGUAGAUCUCAGUGUGAAGGACUUCUAUAAUGCAUGAGCCAACAAUGUAUGUUACUGGUAAGAGACUACACAUCAGAGAGGUUCCCUCCGUGCACCAUCUGUUUCUCUGCAAUUGGGAAUGGUAGAAUAAUUUUCUGAAGAAUUGUUGACAAGACAUGGCAAGGGAACAAUAAUCCAUAAGGACAAGAUUUCUCAUUUAAGUCACUCAGCUUAUCUGCAAUAUAGCAAGAUUUUGAUUUACACUGGUCACCUUUGGAGCAGGGAGGACAGUGACUGGUAAGUAGCAUUUUCUUAUUGCACAGGCU